AUGUUGUGGGGCAAUGCUUUUAUUGUUUGUUUUUUUACCAAAAUGCAAAAUACAACAAACGUACAGAACAAGAAAGGACAGCCGGGGUAUGGGGUGUAUUACAAAACAUGCAUUAUAAAAAACUGUGAGCACCCCAUCCCUGGUAGGGGGUACCAGGCCCUUGGCAACGGCGGCCAUGUUCCCUGGGUGCUGGCUUCCUGGGCCCGGCAGUCCUUUCUCCACGCAGGGAGAGGGGUCCCUGAUCUCUCUGGCAAGACCAAGAGCCGGGGAUCACAUCUGAGCCAGGGGGUGUCUGUGUCCCUGUGGUCUUGGUUCUGGUCCCUGCCCCUGAGAGCUGGGCCUUGCCAAAUUUCCAACUGUGGGCAAGCCUGGUCAGGCCAAAUUUACCACACUUCUUGUGGACCCCCUCUCCUCCUGGGUGUCCUCCUCUGGGGUGGGGACAGCUGGACCCUAGCUUGCUCUCUCUGUGCCCAACCGUGGGCUGGAUGGGUGGCUGCCUGGAGCGCGGGGUGGGUCUCCCUUGGGGGGUCCUGGACUCGUACCUGGGGUUGGGGGGAAGCCCAGAACCCCUGGGUAGUGAUGAGGUGCUCGUCUGGGGCUGUGCACGCUCUUCUGGGGCGGGGCCCCACGUUGGGCCCUUCUGGUGGGGCGAGGGGGCUGCUCUCCUGGUUGGGCUGGAGCUGCACUCUGUCCCCCCAUGCCUCCCUGCUCUCUGGCUUUGGGGGCCCCGUGGCGGUACUGCUGGUCCUGGCCUGGGUGGCGGAUGUGAUCACCCUGGGGGCGGUUGUUCUCUACCUGCUGCCGUGCAGGUGUUGGGGGGUUAUAGCUGCCACUGCUGCUGCGGUGGGGGUCCUGGUGUGGGGAUGGCUGGGCACUCUCCCUCCAUCCUUUUACAUUCCAUCAUCUGAACCUCACUGUAAUGAGUAUAACCAUCCAGCAACUUGUUGCUUUAUGCUGCUUCAUGGUUUUACCCCCCACCCCUCCUAUGAUCACCCUCCUAUCCCCCUCUUUCUAACAUCCCUCUCUCUUCUUCCCUCCUUUCCUUUUCCGUCCGGUCCAACACCAAAGAUUUUCAAAAACGAUUAA
Molecule: long non-coding RNA, 1086 nt
Filed under: Oryzias sinensis (Chinese medaka)
Lineage: Eukaryota; Metazoa; Chordata; Actinopteri; Beloniformes; Adrianichthyidae
Description: lncRNA (ENSOSIG00000023508.1)
Source: RNAcentral